CCCUAGUACCACACUCCCUGGUCAGUGUAGCCAGAUGCCCACGGGCACCGCUGCCCACAGCAGAGCAUGGACACCAUGGGCACCCCCAGACCAGGAUGUGGGGCUCAAUCCCAGGGUUGCCCUUUGCACAGCUUGUAAAUGGCUGAGGGGGAUUCCAAGGGUAGCUGUGGGGUUGGAGCCUCUGCUGUGGUCCUGGAAGAAGCUCUGAGCUCAGUCCAGCAGGGCUCCAGGGACCCCAGCAGUGGGGCAACACCAGGCACUGGAGAUGAACAAGGCUGACCAUCCUCCCCACUUGCUGUUCAUGAGCCACCAUCCACAGGAGGUGCUAGGGAGGCCGGCGAUCCCUUGGCCAGGGCAUAGGGUCAGCCUGAAGGCCUGGAACCCACCAGCUUGGCCAGCACCUCAAUGCGUUCCUGGGCACAAUCUCAGCAGGACACCAGGCGCUGACUGCUGGUGUGGACGGAGCUGGACGGGGGAGGAGAGAGUUCUGGCCCCCCCAUCAGCCUCUCUCCAGAGGCAGGCGAAGCCCCAGGAGGGGAGGCAUGUCCACUCCCCACAGCCCCUCCCAUACCAGAGGCCCUUGACAAUGCGCCUGCAGGUCAGGCGACCAGCUAGGUGUGGGGUGAGCCCCCGCCUCUGUUUCCCCAAAUGACUGGUAUGUUCCUGGGCACACAUCCGAUGGCUGCCAGCCUGAUGGCGGGCACUGCUGGUAAAUUCUAGGCACAGGAGCACCCUCUGGACAGGGCUUCCUAACCUGGGGCCUCUUGGCAUGGGGCACCCACAGCGCAGUGCCAGGGCCAGGAACCGCUCACUCAGCAAGAGCAGCAACUUCCCACCGAGUGCUUUUCAGGCAAGGACUCUGCCCAGCACAAAUGGGUCCCUCAAAGCUCUGGUGUCACCAUCUGAGAUCAGUCUGGCCAGGCUGAAAUGGAGCUGUUGGCAGGGCCAUGCCCCCUCUCGAGGCUCUCGGGGAGACCCUGCUUCCUCCCCUUUCCCAGCUCCAGCGCCACUUCCUGCCUCCUGGCCCCUUCCCCCUUCAGAGCCAGCAGCGUGAAGUAGCAGCUUCACCUCUCCCUCUGCGUCUUCCCUCUUCUUGCCUCUCUCUUAUGAGGACACUCGUGACUGCAUUUGGAGCCCACCAGGCAAUCCAGGGUCAUGCCCUCACCCCGAGAUCCUGAACUUCGCCACAACUACAGAGCCCCCUUUGCCAUAUGAGGUGACAUUCACAGGUUCCAGGGUUUAGGAUGCGGACGUCAUUAUUCAGCCAAUCACAAUGUAUAUCUCAAAAACACAAAGAAUAAGCAAGCUGGAGUGGCUACAUUUAUAUAAGGAAGGGGACCAUUCCCAGGGAUCAAGACAGACAUUUUGGAUGGGAUCUCAGCAGUUUGGGAGGCCAAGGCAGGAGGAUCACUUGAGC
Molecule: long non-coding RNA, 1417 nt
Filed under: Homo sapiens (human)
Lineage: Eukaryota; Metazoa; Chordata; Mammalia; Primates; Hominidae
Description: non-protein coding lnc-LCN9-2:1
Source: RNAcentral